GUUCGCACAUAUUAUACCAACGACAACCUCUAUUUGAUAUCCUUUUGAAGUCUACGCCUUGGAUGCUCUCUUUUCCUCAUCCUCCAUCUCUAAGGUUAUCAAUUCUAGGAUUUUUAAGAAAAGGUUAAUCAAGAUUCCAAGAGCUGAUUUCUUGGACCACCUUCUUCAAGCUAUGGUUCUUCUUUGAAUUCUUGAAAAGCAAAUAAGGAAAUCUGUCCAAAGAUGAACGCGGAAGUUUUUGAGCGAGAAAUGCAGAAGAGACCAC
Long non-coding RNA from Solanum pennellii, 265 nucleotides. RefSeq lists it as uncharacterized. The record is from RefSeq and is a predicted model, not a curated record. The transcript has 3 exons. Lineage: Eukaryota; Viridiplantae; Streptophyta; Magnoliopsida; Solanales; Solanaceae.